AUUGAACGCUGGCGGCAGGCUUAACACAUGCAAGUCGAGCGGAAACGAUGGGAGCUUGCUCCCAGGCGUCGAGCGGCGGACGGGUGAGUAACACUUAGGAAUCUACCUAGUAGCGGGGGAUAGCUCGGGGAAACUCGAAUUAAUACCGCAUACGACCUACGGGAGAAAGGGGGCAGUUUACUGCUCUCGCUAUUAGAUGAGCCUAAGUCGGAUUAGCUAGAUGGUGGGGUAAAGGCCUACCAUGGCGACGAUCUGUAGCUGGUCUGAGAGGAUGAUCAGCCACACCGGGACUGAGACACGGCCCGGACUCCUACGGGAGGCAGCAGUGGGGAAUAUUGGACAAUGGGGGCAACCCUGAUCCAGCCAUGCCGCGUGUGUGAAGAAGGCCUUUUGGUUGUAAAGCACUUUAAGCAGUGAAGAAGACCAUAUGGUUAAUACCCAUAUGCGAUGACAUUAGCUGCAGAAUAAGCACCGGCUAACUCUGUGCCAGCAGCCGCGGUAAUACAGAGGGUGCAAGCGUUAAUCGGAAUUACUGGGCGUAAAGCGAGCGUAGGUGGCUUGAUAAGUCAGAUGUGAAAUCCCCGGGCUUAACCUGGGAACUGCAUCUGAUACUGUUAAGCUAGAGUAGGUGAGAGGGAAGUAGAAUUCCAGGUGUAGCGGUGAAAUGCGUAGAGAUCUGGAGGAAUACCGAUGGCGAAGGCAGCUUCCUGGCAUCAUACUGACACUGAGGCUCGAAAGCGUGGGUAGCAAACAGG
This 755-nucleotide ribosomal RNA is filed under the name uncultured bacterium. RNAcentral's name for it is "bacterial SSU rRNA". It matches the Rfam family "Bacterial small subunit ribosomal RNA", at positions 28 to 776 of the family's 1533-position model. The record is from RNAcentral.